AUUCCUUCCCCCAAGGUAUGGAGCUCUGAAAUGGGGAUCUUAUGAAUCAGAAUCAGAUAAGAUCUGAAACUCAGCACAGAGGCUCUGCUCCCCACUCUGAGAGUGAUCUACCAGAGCAAGAAGAGGAGAUUCUGGGAUCUGAUGAUGAUGAGCAGGAAGAUCCUAAUGAUUAUUGUAAAGGAGGUUAUCAUCUUGUGAAAAUUGGAGAUCUAUUCAAUGGGAGAUACCAUGUGAUCCGAAAGUUAGGCUGGGGACACUUUUCAACAGUAUGGUUAUCAUGGGAUAUUCAGGGGAAGAAAUUUGUGGCAAUGAAAGUAGUUAAAAGUGCUGAACAUUACACUGAAACAGCACUAGAUGAAAUCCGGUUGCUGAAGUCAGUUCGCAAUUCAGACCCUAAUGAUCCAAAUAGAGAAAUGGUUGUUCAACUACUAGAUGACUUUAAAAUAUCAGGAGUUAAUGGAACACAUAUCUGCAUGGUAUUUGAAGUUUUGGGGCAUCAUCUGCUCAAGUGGAUCAUCAAAUCCAAUUAUCAGGGGCUUCCACUGCCUUGUGUCAAAAAAAUUAU
Molecule: small RNA, 565 nt
Filed under: Pongo abelii (Sumatran orangutan)
Lineage: Eukaryota; Metazoa; Chordata; Mammalia; Primates; Hominidae
Description: processed transcript
Source: RNAcentral